AGGCCAAGUGGGCAAGUAUUAAGACGCCCCCGUGUGUCAACCACGCGUAAUUAACGCCGACUUUGCAUGCAAAGACGGCGUCCAUUGCGCCGACUUCCAUACAAAGUCGGCGUCUUUUUCGCCUCAAAUCGAACCGUGUCACGUGACACGUUCAAAGCACGCGUCUAAAUAAACGCGUGCUUUUUUGAGACGUGUCUAUUAAACCACACGAAAUUAACGCCUGGUUUGGCUCAAUCAGCGUCUGGUUUUCCAAAAUUAAAGUCUGCUGGCUUGAAUCUCCGAUGGGAAAUUAUGACAAUAAUUGUAACAACUAAUACAUCAUAUACUGGACUGGGGGUCAGAUGGCUGAGCGGUUAGGGAGUCGGGCUAUUAAUCAGGUUGUUGGUUCGAUUCCCGGCCAUGCAAAAUGACGUUGUGUCCUUGGGCAAGGCACUUCACCCUACUUGCCUCGGGGAGAAUGUCCCUGUACUUACUGAUGGCAGGCAGGUAGAGGAGCUGUGAUUGCUGCAGGGGCACACCUGUGAUCUGUGCCUUGGUCCUUAAUAAGCUGUGCCCUAACAAGCUGGGUCUCUCCAUUACUAGCAGGAACAUCAUCACUGUUUGCUUUUUAGUGUGUAAUGAUUCUCUUCACUCUACACUUGCACUGAUCCCACACCCAUUCCAUACACUUCUAAUUUACCAACCAUUUCUUUGUAAGCACUUUUUAUUAAAUAAGUACA
Molecule: long non-coding RNA, 719 nt
Organism: Osmerus eperlanus (European smelt)
Lineage: Eukaryota; Metazoa; Chordata; Actinopteri; Osmeriformes; Osmeridae
Exons: 3
Source: RefSeq, a predicted model, not a curated record